AUUGAACGCUGGCGGCAUGCCUUACACAUGCAAGUCGAACGGCAGCGCGGACUUCGGUCUGGCGGCGAGUGGCGAACGGGUGAGUAAUACAUCGGAACGUACCCUGGUGUGGGGGAUAACUAGUCGAAAGAUUAGCUAAUACCGCAUCCGACCUGAGGGUGAAAGUGGGGGAUCGCAAGGCCUCACGCAGCAGGAGCGGCCGAUGUCUGAUUAGAUAUGUGGUGGGGUAAAGGCCAACCAAGGCGACGAACAGUAGCUGGUCUGAGAGGACGAUCAGCCACACUGGGACUGAGACACGGCCCAGACUCCUACGGGAGGCAGCAGUGGGGAAUUUUGGACAAUGGGGGCAACCCUGAUCCAGCAAUGCCGCGUGUGUGAAGAAGGCCUUCGGGUUGUAAAGCACUUUUGUCCGGAAAGAAAUCGCGCUGGUUAAUACCUGGCGUGGAUGACGGUACCGGAAGAAUAAGCACCGGCUAACUACGUGCCAGCCGCCGCCGUAA
RNAcentral lists this ribosomal RNA (500 nucleotides) under uncultured bacterium. RNAcentral's name for it is "partial 16S ribosomal RNA". It matches the Rfam family "Bacterial small subunit ribosomal RNA", at positions 29 to 523 of the family's 1533-position model. The record is from RNAcentral.